CAAAGACUGAACAGGAGGAAUAUAAGUCCUGGGACAGGGUACAUGUGGCCUGAUGUCCACAGACUGGCUGCCUAGAAGCCUGUGAAGCUUCUGGGCCCACAGGUGGCCAGCACUCAGAUGAGGUUCUCUUUGGAGACAGAGCCCUGGAUCAGUCCUGACAAGUCUGGAAUUCACUUUGGCUAGCUUUCUGGCCUAGCAGCCAUCUCUCCAAAAUGCAAACAUCGAGGUGCCCAGGCUCCUGGUCCCAGUGGGAGAGCAGGAGGCUGACUUGGGUGGGAACCUGGCUCCAAGUUGCACCAUUCCCUCUGAUCAUAAAGAGAUGAGAAGUUUCUCUUCUGGAUGAAGCCAACCGGCUGAUACAGAUGGUGACCCCAGUGACCAGGGAGGUCUUCCAGGGUCAGAACCCCCCUGAACUGUACUGCCAGGAAUCAGAGCCUGUGCUCGGAAAAACUGGAAAAGACCUGGCCUGUCCACCCUUGGCCCAGGGCCUCACAGCUAUGACCCAUCCUGGAAUAGCAAAGCAGCCCUCCCUGUCCAGCCUGACCUGCAGGUGCUGGCUCUGAUCCUCUUCAAGGGGGAAGGUCUGAGCCUCAUUAAAUACGGGUAGCUGAGGACUCAGUUCCAGGUCAGUGGUUGGGCUUGGGGGGGGUGGGUAAGUCGUGUCCCUGAUCCCUGGAAAGAGGUUCUUUGAGGCCAAGGUCUCUGGUUUGGGACCACACCUGAUAUUGCUGGGUUUUUUGCAGCCCAGGCAGGCUGGGGAUAGGGUGCCUCCUGGGAGUGGGGGUGGGGGAGGUAUGGCAGGGAAUGGAAGUUUGUCCUGAGACUGACUUAGCUCUGGCAUGUCCCGUCCUCUUCUGCCUCUCACAGCCUCACGCAAAAGUAGUCAGUGAUCUGAAGGUACACAAACUUUCUGAACCUCAGUUUCCUAUAAUGACAACAUACAUUGUUUCUCGAGCACCAAAUAUGGGCCAGGCAGUGAGCCUGGAACUUUAUAUGCCGCACCCUUCAUCCUCACAGAAACCCAGCCUGUAUCCAUCACUCGGCUUCGACUGUUAUCAACUCAUGGCUGGUUUCAUUUUAAAAGCAGAACCUAAGGCUUAGCAAGGUCAAGUGCAGAGCUUGGCCUUCAUUCCAGAGCCAAGCUCUUUCCCCCGCCUACCUGUGAGGUGGUGAGAGUGACAGGUGUGGAGCAGGGCUAGACGGUGGCUAGUACACACUCACACACAGUGGUGCUUCCUUUGAAGCCAAGGGCCUGGGUGAGAGCCAGGUCAGUCUGAGGGCUAAGAGGGGUCGAAUUGAUUUUAGGCUGGGACUGUUUCCUAUCCCGCAUCCCUUUGUGAAAACAAAGCCCAAGCAAAGAGGAAGGUGAAGGAUGUGAAUCCAUCACCUCCACCUCCCCGCCAAGCCUAAGUGUCCCUGGAGUUUCCCAAGAAAAUGGGGAAGUUUUCAUGCCUGCUUUUCACACAGUCCAGUCUUCUUUUCUUUGGGUUCAAGUUUUUUCUUCCUCAAGUUUUCUAUUUCAACUAUUUGAAAAAGAAAAAGCCUUUUUUGCAGAGGGAGGGCAGGAGGAGAGAAAUCCUCAAACUCCCUGGCCUUCCUCUGGACUGGGCUGUGAACUCACAGAGCAGAGACUGCGGUGCCCCGGGGCAGUGACCUGAUGUGGGUCACGCAGUGAGAAGUGACAGGCCCCAGCCAGCUGUGGCGCCAGAUGUCUUUCCUCCCGUUUUGCAUCCACAUGUGUGUCUGCUCAUACUUUCUUUCUGAUGAUUGUGUUUUCCAAUGACACAGACCUUCUGAGCCCGAGUGUCCCAACAGCAUACAUCAAUAUGGAACAUCAGAGUUGUGUCAGCAGUUUGUUUUGAAAAUAGUUUUCAUUAUAAAUGCAAUAGAUGCUCACAAAAAUAUAGAUGGGG
Sus scrofa (pig) is the source of this 1913-nucleotide non-coding RNA. The record is from RefSeq and is a predicted model, not a curated record. Lineage: Eukaryota; Metazoa; Chordata; Mammalia; Artiodactyla; Suidae.